AACGAACGCUGGCGGCAUGCCUAACACAUGCAAGUCGAACGAGACCUUCGGGUCUAGUGGCGCACGGGUGCGUAACGCGUGGGAACCUGCCCUUAGGUUCGGAAUAACUCCCCGAAAGGGGUGCUAAUACCGGAUAAUGUCUUCGGACCAAAGAUUUAUCGCCUUUGGAUGGGCCCGCGUUGGAUUAGCUAGUUGGUAGGGUAAAAGCCUACCAAGGCGACGAUCCAUAGCUGGUCUGAGAGGAUGAUCAGCCACACUGGGACUGAGACACGGCCCAGACUCUUACGGGAGGCAGCAGUGGGGAAUAUUGGACAAUGGGCGAAAGCCUGAUCCAGCAAUGCCGCGUGAGUGAUGAAGGCCUUAGGGUUGUAAAGCUCUUUUACCCGGGAUGAUAAUGACAGUACCGGGAGAAUAAGCGCCGGCUAACUCCGUG
RNAcentral lists this ribosomal RNA (433 nucleotides) under uncultured bacterium. RNAcentral describes it as "partial 16S ribosomal RNA". It matches the Rfam family "Bacterial small subunit ribosomal RNA", at positions 29 to 507 of the family's 1533-position model. The record is from RNAcentral.